RNAcentral lists this long non-coding RNA (875 nucleotides) under Gallus gallus (chicken). RNAcentral describes it as "lncRNA (ENSGALG00010026145.1)". The record is from RNAcentral. Lineage: Eukaryota; Metazoa; Chordata; Aves; Galliformes; Phasianidae.
CCUGGGCUGCAGCAACAGAGGGGUGGCAGCAGGGAGAGGAGAGGGAGGGGGUUGUGCCCCUCUGCUCUGCCCCUGGAAGGCCCCACCUGCAGUGCUGUGCCCAGGCCUGGGGCCCCCAGGACAGGAGGGAUGCGGAGCUGCUGGAGCGGGUCCAGAGGAGGGCACGAGGAUGCACAGAGGGCUGCAGCACCUCUGCUGUGAAGACAGGCUGAGGGAGCUGGGCUUGUUCAGCUCGGGGAAGCUUGGGGACCAACUGUUUACAUGGUCUUAUAGUGACAAGACAAGAAGGAAUGGCUCUAAGCUAAAAGAGGGGAGAUUUAUGUUAGAUGUGAGGAAGCAAUCCUUUUGGCAGAGGGCGGUGAGGCGCUGGCACUGCUGCCCAGAGAGCUGUGGGUGCCCCAUCCCUGCAGGCACUCAAGGCCAGGUGGGAUGGGGCCCUGGGCAGCCUGAGCUGGUGGGGGGCAGCCCUGCCCAUGGCCGGGGGUGGCACUGGGUGGGCUUUGAGCUCCCCUCCAACCUAUGAUUCACGUGUCUGUGUGCCCAUUACCUUCUCAUUCUGGAAGAGAAAGAGAGAGAAUGAUGGCAGUAUCAGAUAGCUGAGAUGAAGUGUCACCUGCCUUUUGAUGUUCUGUGGGCUCCUCUCUAGUGCCACACUCACUGACUAUUAAGUCUCUAUUGCAGUAAAUCAAUGCCUUCACAGUGUAUGCAGCUGAAGAAAUCUCAGACAAUUCCCCUCGAAGCUGUUCCAGGAGCUAAGCCAGGCUUUCUGCCAGCAUGGGUUGACUGAAACCCUCCAUACAAGUGCACCAACACACACCUUGUUUUCCUCCCGGUCAGGCACUGCGCCAGCUAUUCCCCUCCACAUACAUCCUCCC